Callithrix jacchus (white-tufted-ear marmoset) is the source of this 2960-nucleotide non-coding RNA. The record is from RefSeq and is a predicted model, not a curated record. Lineage: Eukaryota; Metazoa; Chordata; Mammalia; Primates; Cebidae.
CUAAAGGAAGAGAUGCCUGACCACAUGUCUUCCCGCUUUGUUCCCACUCCAGAAGUCCACUACCUCUCCCCCUCCCUACUCCUCACCGGAGGAUCUGCCUGAACAUCUAUCCUCUCCUGCCAAUCUCAGCAACCAGUCGCCAUCAACAGCACACUCUUCCUCUGCUCCCUCUGCACCUCCUACCUCGGAGGCCAUGCCUCGCUCUCCCUCUACUCCCUCCGAGCCCCCUCCCUCAGAGGCCGCACUUCCUCUCGCCUAUCCAGUGGCGGCCCACACCCGCUCCCACCAGCCAGCUAUCCUGGCCCCACUCCGAGAAGUAGCAGGCGCAGAAGGUUUAAUCAGGGUCCAUGUUCCUUUCUCACUCCAAGACCUGUCCCAAAUUGAGAAACGUUUAGGAUCCUUCUCAGCCGACCCGUCCACCUAUAUUAAGGAAUUCCAAUACCUCACUCAAGCCUACAGCCUCACUUGGCAUGAUAUUCGCAUUAUCUGUUCCUCCACCCUCACAGUGGAGGAGCACGAGCGCAUCCUCGCUGCAGCCAGAAACCAAGCAGAUAAAGACCAUGCUAUCGAUAACCAGAUCCCCCUAGGCCCCGAAGCAAUCCCAGGUGAAGACCCCCAAUGGGACUAUCAGGCUAAUCGAGGGUCUGAUAUACCCAAGAGGGACAGCAUGAUUAGAUACCUCCUCAGGGGAAUGGAUGCUGUAUCUAACAAAGUUGUAAACUAUGAUAAACUGAGAGAAAUCACCCAACUACCUGAUGAGAACCCCGCCCUCUUUCUCGCUCGCUUGUAAGAAGCCCUAGUCCGGUAUACUCGACUAGAUCCAGCCCCUCAAAACGGGGCCACUGUAUUAGGCUCCCAUUUUAUCUCCCAAUCAGCACCCGACAUAAGAAAGAAACUAAAGAAAGCAGAAGAGGGGCCAGAGAUUCCCAUCCAAGACCUGGUAAAAAUGGCCUUUAAAGUAUUCAGUGCCAGGGAAGAUGCGGCUGAUGCUGCCCGCCAAACUCGCAUGAAGCAGAAGGCUGCCCUCCAGACCCAAGCCCUAGUGGCGGCUCUAAGGCCGGCAGGGAACCAGAAGCCCAAGGCCGAAACCCAUGCCCCUCCGGGAGCAUGUUUUAAAUGUGGAAAGGAAGGACACUGGUCCUGAGCCUAUCCACAACCACGGCCACCAACUAAGCCUUGCCCUAUCUGUCAGCUCCCGGGACACUGGAAGUCAGACUGCCCCAGCUUCCCCAGGGUGCCGGUUCCUCAAAACAGACACACUGGCGUUACUCAGCCGGCAGUCACCCUCAGUAGGGAGGAGCCUGCUUUCCAGGAGCCGACCUCCGAGGGAACUCCAUUCUCCAGGCUAUUAGGGCUGCUAGACAACUAGUGGGGCCCUGGCUUUCCGACUCCGGUUACCCUUGCCGAGCCUAGGGUCACAAGACAUGGGGGCUACCUCCUCCGCUCUUCCUUCUUAUUCUGGCCGUCUUACCCCUUCCCAGGUCUUGGUUAUGGGAAUCGAUGGGACCCCGAGUAUCCCCUACCAAACCCCACCACUCAUGUGCUCAUAUAACUCCACUCCAUUCACCCACUCUUUUUAGUAAUCCCCACCUGCCCAGUUCCCCUUCUGGGGUGAGACAUCCUUUCAAAGCUGAAGGCCGUCAUAACCUUCCCCACCACCAGCCCACACAGCCUCUUUCUCCUAGCCCUCAAUACUCUGCCUCAGAAUUCCAGACCCUCCAGUCUACCCCCGGGGUACGGUUCAAGGAUGACUCGGCCUUCAAGCAUAACCUCCUCAUCCUCCCUGAAAAGCAAAGGUACCAGAUAAUCCAAGACAUCCAUAAUUCACUCCACAUUGGGCCUAAAGCCUUAUACCGAUUCCUCAACCCACUUUUCACCCUCACCAUCUCCUCAGUACCAUACAGGAAGUCCAGUCCUCAUGUACUGUCUGCGCGAAAACUAAUUCCCAGGGUUCCUGUCAUCCUCGGCGCCAGCUUUAUCAGCUACACGGGUUCCUACCUGGCCAAGACUGGCUAAUUGAUUUCACCCAUAUGCCAAAGCAUAAACAGUACCGGUAUCUGCUAACCAUUGUUGACACUUUUUCAGGCUGGAUUGAAGCUUACCCCACAGCCUCUGAGUCUGCCGGGACAGUAGCCACUCAUCUCAUUCAAGACAUCAUCCCACGCUUUGGACUCCCGGCUACCAUACAGUCAGACAACGGCCCAGCCUUUAUCUUCAAAGUCACUAAUGCCGUUUCUACCUCUCUAGGAAUUCAGUGGAAGCUACACGCCGCCUACCAUCCUCAGUCCUCUGUUCAUACAGCGGCGCUUUCAAGAACUGACUCGAGUCACCAUCCACCAGAUGCUGCUCCAACCCCACCCUGAACGAGUGCAAGAAACAGACCUCUCCCUGAACAUCCAGGCUCCUUAAGAAAAGAGACCUCUUCAGAGCCCCCCGUCGACCCUUGUCAGCAGGAAGUAGCCAGAUCGAUUCCGCCGCCCUUUUCCUUUUUAAGGAGUCGGGAAUGUUCGGUAGAAAGUCCCGCCAUCUUUCCCCCAGGUUUCUUGCCCCCACCCUCCCCCCAGGCUUCCUGCUGCCCUGAGAAAAGCCCGCCAAGCCUGCUCUGUUCUGCCCAACAACUACAAGCAGCCAAUCAUCGCAGCAGGAAAGCCCGCCAAGCCUCGGCCUAUCCUGAACCGACACGUAACCCUCUGAGCCACCUCAGCAGUCUGCCCAGAGACAGACAGCCUAUCCUAAGCUCCUACGACACUCCGCCAGCCCUGUGUCCACGCCCCGUCCACCCCCCUAUAAAACCCUCCUACCCCAGCUGCGCAGUCGCAACCAGCCCCGAUCUCCUUCCUUUCCUGGCCUGCCCGCUGGUCCCAAUAAACCUGAACUCGGCUUCCAACCCUCGAGCUGUUAUUUGGGGUCGGGUACCGGACAGGGGUCUACAAGGGGGUCGCACAAUAUACAAGCUCCAU